Molecule: long non-coding RNA, 116 nt
Organism: Argiope bruennichi
Lineage: Eukaryota; Metazoa; Arthropoda; Arachnida; Araneae; Araneidae
Exons: 4
Source: RefSeq, a predicted model, not a curated record
GAACAAAACAAAGCUUUACAAUGAGAACCAUUUUUGCUCUCUGCUUGAUUAUCGCCAUCAUCGCAAUGGCAAUGGGUGGCGUUCACCAUUACAAAGUUACUCAUGCUCCUGAAUAU